Non-coding RNA from Pelobates cultripes (western spadefoot toad), 435 nucleotides. Lineage: Eukaryota; Metazoa; Chordata; Amphibia; Anura; Pelobatidae. The record is from the annotation of a GenBank genome assembly.
AGGAGAGGCAGCCGAUGCCCAUCAUCCCCAGCCACCCUCCUGCGACGAAAUGGUAAGGAAGAGAGGAGGGUGGCUGGGGAUGAAGUGUAUGUAUGUAUGCCAGUGUGUGUAUGCCAGUGUAUGUGUGUAUGUAUGCCAGUGUGUGUAUGCCAGUGUAUGUGUGUGUGUAUGCCAGUGUGUAUGCUGGUGUAUGAAUGCCAGUGUAUGUGUGUGUAUGCCAGUGUAUGUGUGUGUGUAUGCCAGUGUAUGAAUGCCAGUGUAUGUGUGUGUAUGCCAGUGUCUGAAUACCAGUGUAUGUGUGUGUGUAUACCAGUGUGUAUGCUGGUGUAUGAAUGCCAGUGUAUGUGUGUGUAUGCCAGUGUAUGUGUGUGUGUAUGCCAGUGUCUGAAUGCCAGUGUAUGUGUGUGUAUGCCAGUGUCUGAAUACCAGUGUAUG